GCGCGGCGAAAAACCUUUCCACACAGUGUUUUUUGUUAUUACAAGAACUUUUGCUUUGGUCUGGACUAGAAAUAGUUUGGGCCAGAGGUUUACUGAACUAAACUUCAAUAUUUAUAUUGAAUUGUUAUUUAUUUAAUUGUCAAUUUGUUGAUUAAAUUCAAAAAAUCUUCAAAACUUUCAACAACGGAUCUCUUGGUUCUCGCAUCGAUGAAGAACGCAGCGAAAUGCGAUAAGUAAUAUGAAUUGCAGAUUUUCGUGAAUCAUCGAAUCUUUGAACGCACAUUGCGCCCUCUGGUAUUCCAGAGGGCAUGCCUGUUUGAGCGUCAUUUCUCUCUCAAACCUUCGGGUUUGGUAUUGAGUGAUACUCUUAGUCGAACUAGGCGUUUGCUUGAAAUGUAUUGGCAUGAGUGGUACUGGAUAGUGCUAUAUGACUUUCAAUGUAUUAGGUUUAUCCAACUCGUUGAAUAGUUUAAUGGUAUAUUUCUCGGUAUUCUAGGCUCGGCCUUACAAUAUAACAAACAAGUUUGACCUCAAAUCAGGUAGGAUUACCCGCUGAACUUAAGCAUAUAA
This 570-nucleotide ribosomal RNA is filed under the name Debaryomyces sp. H8Y20. RNAcentral's name for it is "eukaryotic LSU rRNA". The stretch from base 173 to 326 matches the Rfam family "5.8S ribosomal RNA". Lineage: Eukaryota; Fungi; Ascomycota; Pichiomycetes; Serinales; Debaryomycetaceae. The record is from RNAcentral.